CCUACGGGUGGCAGCAGUGGGGAAUAUUGCUCAAUGGGGGCAACCCUGAUGCAGCGACGCCGCGUGAAGGAAGAAGUAUUUCGGUAUGUACACUUCUAUCUGCAGGGAAGAAAAUGACGGUACGUGACCAAGAUGCCCUGGCUAACUACGUGCCAGCAGCCGCGGCAAUACGUAGGGGGCAAGCGUUAUCCGGAUUUACUGGGCGUACAGGGAGCGUAGGCGGUGCAGCAAGUCAGAAGGGAAAGCCCGGGGCUAAACUCCGGGACGGCUUUUGAAACUGUUGAACUAGAUUGCAGGAGAGGUAAGUGGAAUUCCUGGUGUAGCGGUGAAAUGCGUAGAUAUUAGGAGGAACACCAGUGGCGAAGGCGGCUUACUGGACUGUAAAUGACGCUGAGGCUCGAAAGCGUGGGGAGCAAACAGGAUUAGAUACCCGAGUAGUC
RNAcentral lists this ribosomal RNA (440 nucleotides) under uncultured bacterium. RNAcentral's name for it is "partial 16S ribosomal RNA". It matches the Rfam family "Bacterial small subunit ribosomal RNA", at positions 338 to 795 of the family's 1533-position model. The record is from RNAcentral.